GCUGUUCUACUGUGUUUUGUUGCGCAUCUCAGAGGGAAAGGCCUUUGGAUUGGAAUAUUAACUGGGACUACUGAGCAGGCAACAUCAUUUGCUGUCAUAACUGCAAUGAUCAAUUGGAAAAAGCAGGUUCUUGCAUCAAUACCUGUUCUUCAUAUCUUCCUAUUUUUGCUUCGAUCGCCUCAUCCUGGAUAUCUGUUUUGGUAUAAUAAUGAUGUCUUCUCAAGCUUGCGUUAUCUUUGCUGCAAACAAAUGGAAGUUGGUCGCUCCCACCGCGACUAAAUAAUAGAGUUGUUUAAGCAUUGUGACUAAACUUUUUUCCGCACAUGAACAUUGCAGGCAUCAGAGGCAAGGAAGAGGAUCUUUGAGGGAACAUGUUCGACUAAUGACGAAUUGCUUGAUCAAAAUAAAAAAACCUGACAGAACCAAUGUGCUUGAUGAUGAGUUUGAGAAAUCGGUGCUAUUCUUGAAAUCAUCUUUUUUUCCGAUUCAUUAUCUACAUGUCUUUUCAUACUAGAACUGGAUAUAAUUCUACUCCAUUGAAGCACAAAAUAACGUUCUUGCCACAUAUAGAUGGCUUAUAGCAUAUCGAAUUCGAACCACUUAGCAACAAGUUUUACCAGGUAGGUAACUACAUAUGUUGCUAGAAACUUUCUGCUGUCGAUAUUUAUUUUCCGGGAGACAGAACGGUUUGUAGCUUAAAGGUUCGUACUCUGCUUUUAACAGAGCCGGGAAUUCCAGUGUCACUAUGUCGGAAUCCUUGCAGAUGUAAAAAAUUGUUUUCAUAAUAUUUUUUUUCCUGGAUUGAGGUUAGUAAAAUUGGUAAAAGAACGUCUUUGAAGCAUUCCAUUUUCACUCAUUCACAUCUCAAGGCGGUGAGGGUAUCCUAAGUUCAGCUUUGAUUAACUCCAUUGAAGUACAUAUUGUCGAAUUUGUAGAAGAAAAUACGGUUUUGGUUUAGAUUUAUUUUUCUAUUACCUUUUUGUUUAAAACAUGGUUAUAAGCAAAAUUUAGUGACAAGAACAUGAGAAUUGAACAAAUUGUAAUAUAUUUCAAAGUCUACAAAGAAAAUACAAAUGAUUUAUUGAUCAUAAAAGCAUACCAGUCAUAAAAGUACAUUGUGAUAAAAGAAGUUAAUAAUACUAACAAGUACACUUGAAAAACCAUUCUAUAUGUGUGUGUGUGUGUACACACCUCUCUUUCUUGAUCCAUGAAUAGUGGAUGGAUGGCUUCCUGUUCUUUUCCCUUGUGCAGCAAACAACCUCUUGCACAUCCAAAUCCAAUACUUUACACAUCUAUCUUGCACAUAGGCAAGAUAAGAGGACGGAAGGUUACUAGGUUAUAUAAUAUACGUAUGCAGGCUGAAGUGUAUAGAAUUUUAGUACUUGCUAGUAAGGAGGAGGUGGUGGCCUGUAGGGAUCAAAGAAUGGUGGUGGGGGAGGACCAGGGGGUCCAGGAGGUGGAGGUGGAUGGUGGUGAUGAGGGGGUGGUUGAUGACCAAAGGGUCUUGGAGGAGGCGGUGGUGGUGCAAAGGAUCUGGUGGUGGAGCAUCAAAGGGCCGAGGUGGAGGAGGUGGUGCAAAACGAUGACGUGGUGGGCUGUCAAAGGGUCGAUGUGGAGGAGGAGGUGGCGGUGCAAAAGGAUCUGGUGGUGGAGGAGGUGCAAAGGAUCUGGUGGUGGAGGAGGAGGGUGUCUACGGAAUGCCAUUUUCUCUUAAACCUUUAGUUGCAAACACAGUGGUUUCUAUUUUUAUUU
Molecule: long non-coding RNA, 1752 nt
Filed under: Populus tremula
Lineage: Eukaryota; Viridiplantae; Streptophyta; Magnoliopsida; Malpighiales; Salicaceae
Description: long non-coding RNA (PTRE_LNC001316)
Source: RNAcentral